RNAcentral lists this ribosomal RNA (253 nucleotides) under uncultured bacterium. Its description in RNAcentral is "partial 16S ribosomal RNA". It matches the Rfam family "Bacterial small subunit ribosomal RNA", at positions 524 to 776 of the family's 1533-position model. The record is from RNAcentral.
GACAGAGGGUGCAAACGUUGCUCGGAAUUACUGGGCGUAAAGCGCACGUAGGCGGAUUGUUAAGUCAGGGGUGAAAUCCUGGAGCUCAACUCCAGAACUGCCUUUGAUACUGGCGAUCUCGAGUCCGGGAGAGGUGAGUGGAACUGCGAGUGUAGAGGUGAAAUUCGUAGAUAUUCGCAAGAACACCAGUGGCGAAGGCGGCUCACUGGCCCGGUACUGACGCUGAGGUGCGAAAGCGUGGGGAGCAAACAGG